RNAcentral lists this ribosomal RNA (207 nucleotides) under uncultured bacterium. RNAcentral's name for it is "partial 16S ribosomal RNA". It matches the Rfam family "Bacterial small subunit ribosomal RNA", at positions 568 to 774 of the family's 1533-position model. The record is from RNAcentral.
UGCGUAGGCGGCCUUGUAGGUUGGGUGUGAAAUCCCACGGCUCAACGGUGGAACUGCGCUCAAAACCACGAGGCUUGAGGGAGACAGGGGUGAGCGGAACUGAUGGUGGAGCGGUGAAAUGCGUUGAUAUCAUCAGGAACACCGGUGGCGAAGGCGGCUCACUGGGUCUCUUCUGACGCUGAGGCACGAAAGCUAGGGUAGCGAACG